Long non-coding RNA from Notothenia coriiceps (black rockcod), 2387 nucleotides. RefSeq lists it as uncharacterized. NCBI's taxonomy places the organism in Eukaryota, Metazoa, Chordata, Actinopteri, Perciformes, Nototheniidae. The record is from RefSeq and is a predicted model, not a curated record. The transcript has 2 exons.
AAAGCAACGCUCGGAGCAGAGUUUGAGCUUGGACUUGAGUUCGGAGGCUUUUGCAGGCAGCAUGUACGUAACCUUUUGGAUCUUUUCAGUUUCAGCGUGUAGAGGCAUCAGGUUUUUCUUUUUUCUCUAACCGUCUCUACUUACAAACAUGUGUGAGUUUUUCUGCUUCAGUAGAGUUUCAGAGCAGACGUUGGAAAAACAGCGUAAUUGGUCCACGCUGAGAGAAGAAUAAGAAGACGAGGAUCCUGAUAAAGAGAGAUGUGUAAGAGAAGGAGGCAGGGAAGUGAGGCCUGACUCAUUCAGGAAGGAAGUACAGGAAAUGUCCCAUCAGGAAAACAAGUAGCGAUGUAAUUGUGAUUCCUUCACUCAUUUACUGUCCGGGUGGUCGUGAAAGCAGAGCAUUGAUUGUGUGUAUCCAUGUGUGUGUGCAGGCAGUUACCCAUGUUUGGUAUGUAGGGAAAAAAGUGAAAGAGACUUUGGUAAAUGCCCGUGGUGAUUGACCAAACAAUGCUGCUAACAGCAAGUGUGCGUGUAGUUUUGUGUUAAGGACCCCCUUAAGUGUUUCCCAAUUAAGAGGUUAUAAUGUUCAUUAGGCCUUAAACCAAAUUUCUGAUUUCAUGUUUAAUAUUUGUUUUGAAUGUUCCUUUCAUUCAACGUUAUAAUCAUACUUUUUUUUUUACCUUUUUGUAUGUAACACAAUAUUGUCUUACUAUUCUGUUUUAUUUGUAAUGUUUGCAAGCUUUACAGCGCAAUAAUGAUUUUGACAAACAUUAUCAAAUAACAUGAGACAAAUAAUUCAAAUGAAUAUGAAUGCAAAAGCAGAAAUUAGUGAAAACAUUUGUGUAUUAUUUGCAAUAUUGGUAUAGUGGCUAUAGUGGUAUCUGUUUUUGAGUGUAUUGCAAAUGUGUCCUUUAUAUUUCAGCCUUCUCCUGUACAGUAGUGUAUUGAAUAUCAAAUGUGGUGUUGACAAUGGUUGUUUUAUUUCAAUGAUUCAAAGUUCUGGUUCACUAAAUGUACUAAAAAGCACAGUUAACACAUUUAGAAGAUGAAUGUAAUGCAUUUUAGGGAUACUGGCUGUUGAGGUAAGUGAGACAGUGUCUGGGUUUUGUUGUUAUGUCCAGACCUCCAGACGUCCUUAUAGUCUGCAGUAUAUCUGGUUUUUGCUUCCCCUUGUGGUGAGGGGGAGACGGUGCCUGGGCUCAAUCUCCUGUGCCUACUGAGCUGAUAACAGUUUGAUGUUAAACAAACACUGGCUCAGUUCAGCAGGAACCGGAGUUAGGCCUUCUAGAAACCGCAAAGGAUUUGAUAACUAUUGAGGGUUACAUAAUGUACACCAAAAAUGUGUAUGUGUCUAUGUUUGCCUAAGCACUAUAAAGUCGAGUGUUUGCAUCUGUUCCUUUAUUACUAGUUUCUUCAGCUGAGGGUGCCAUUAUUUCUUUACUGCUCAGAAUGUUCUUUAGACUUUUUCCACAAAGUCCCAUCAAGGACAUUCUUCAGAGAUGAGGAAGCACAGGACGCACAUAAACGUAGCCACAAAUCCUGUCUGAACUUCUCACUGUGACGCUUGUGAUGGAGGAAAUCUGUUUCUGUUGGUUGUGUAUUACUAGAAGAUCACAGGAGCAGAGUUUUUCCAGUUGUACUCUCUACGCCAGGUGGCAGAAAGGCUCCAGUAAGACUCAUUAGGGUGUCAUUGAAGCCAUUGUGAUUGUUAAUGGACUGCACUUUUACUUGUCUUGGUGAAAAAUGUAACCUUGACAUUUUUUUUUUUUUUGGAUAAAAACGUUUUCUACUAAUGUUUCAUGCUCAUAAUAUCUUGCAGAUGACAGUUAUUGCAAACAGACUCAAUUUAAUUUCAGACUGUGUGCUUUAGAGUUUCUUUUAGCCUCCUAUCACUUUGUAUUGCUGUUUACCUCAGAGCAUGUAAAAGUUAAAUAUGGAGGAUACUAACUUCAGCCUGUAUUCAGCUUGGAAAAGCAACUGCUUGAAUAUCCAGUGCUGGGUGGUAUAUUCCACUUAUAUUCAAACUAGAUAAUCUAGAUAAAUAGGUUUUAUUUUUCUUUAGUAAGUACGAUAUGUUUAUCUCUGCUAUCGUCACUCCUUCAUUGUCUGUGGCAGCCAAAUUCAUUUGUUCAUCAAGAAAUUAUGCACCACAUCAAGGUGUCUAUGAACAACCCCAGAGCAUUGUUCCAACCUAUAUUUACUGACUGAGCCCUUUUGUUUACAUUAUUUAUAAAUGUCUAAUCAUUAUGCAAGAGCUUCUUUGCACAGCAUCACUUAGUGCCGGAAACUUCACCUUCUUCAAUUAAUCCUGUUAAUGAGUUUAUUCCUGAUUACAAGAAUAUAUUACCAAAGGUACUGUAAAGGAAAUAAAUAUGUGCUUAAGUUAA